GAUGAACGCUGGCGGCGUGCCUAAUACAUGCGAGUCGAGCGAACAGACGAGGAUCUUGCUCCUCUGACGUUAGCGGCGGACGGGUGAGUAACACGUGGAUAACCUACCUAUAAGACUGGGAUAACUUCGGGAAACCGGAGCUAAUACCGGAUAAUAUAUUGAACCGCAUGGUUCAAUAGUGAAAGACGGUUUUGCUGUCACUUAUAGAUGGAUCCGCGCCGCAUUAGCUAGUUGGUAAGGUAACGGCUUACCAAGGCAACGAUGCGUAGCCGACCUGAGAGGGUGAUCGGCCACACUGGAGCUGAGACACGGUCCAGACUCCUACGGGAGGCAGCAGUAGGGAAUCUGCCGCAAUGGGCGAAAGCCUGACGGAGCGACGCCACGUGAGUGAUGAAGGUCUUCGGAUCGUAAAACUCUGUUAUUAGGGACGAACAAAUGUGUAAGUAACUAUGCACGUCUUGACGGUACCUAAUCAGAAAGCCACGGCUAACUACGUG
This 497-nucleotide ribosomal RNA is filed under the name uncultured bacterium. RNAcentral describes it as "partial 16S ribosomal RNA". It matches the Rfam family "Bacterial small subunit ribosomal RNA", at positions 28 to 507 of the family's 1533-position model. The record is from RNAcentral.